RNAcentral lists this unclassified non-coding RNA (2088 nucleotides) under Acyrthosiphon pisum (pea aphid). RNAcentral describes it as "fERM domain-containing protein 8, transcript variant X2". Lineage: Eukaryota; Metazoa; Arthropoda; Insecta; Hemiptera; Aphididae. The record is from RNAcentral.
UAUCACUGUAUAUGAUUACUUUGCGUUCAACUUUUUUAUCAUGAUUUUGACAGUUGAUAACACAAUAUUAUUAUUAUGAUUGUGUGCAUAGCCUAUUUUCGCCCAAAAAUUUGCGUUCAUGUUUGUGUCGUGCUUCCUCUUGUUACUUGUUGCUUUAUUGUAGACAAAUCACAAUUGAAUAAAUUACGAGCGCUUUACUCCACUUUAUGUAGUUCAUUGUGAAACAAGCUAGAACGAACCAAAAUGGAAACAGAUAAAUAUAUUACCAUUGUUCCUGUUGAGUAUCCUCGAAACAGGCAACAGUUCAUACGGCCUCCCGAUGAAUACAGUGACUUUCCACAAAACCGGAAUUGGCCCCAUACGAGAGCAGUUAGGACCGAAUCAAGUACUAUGCGGAGGAAAGAACUGAAACGAUCAUUGGAACACAAAAGAUCUCACAAUCAUUCUCGUAAUGAUCCUAUACAGUCAUGUUCCAAGCCAAUAAUAAGUGCUCCACUAGCAUUCCAAACCGCUCCAAAACCUAUAAAGAAACCGCUUAGUGUAUACAUUUACACAAUGGCUGAUAUAGUUUUACAUAUGGAUAUAGAAGAUGCAAACACAACUACAGUAUCAGAUCUUGUUGAUAUUAUAAUAAUGCAAAAAAAUUUGGGAUUAUCAAGAAUUGCUAAGAAUAUUUUUACAAUUUGGAUGAAAUCAAACGUUUUAGAAAUCCAGUUAAAACCACAUCACAAAUUAUUGACAGUUUUUCAAAAAUGGCCCACACUUGAAGAAAAAUACUGCACUCAAACCAAAAAAGUUAUUUUUAAAGAUCCCAUUUUGAGUUUUCAAAGAAAUGUUUUUUUCCCCAGAAAAGAUGAAGAAAAAAUUAAGGACCAAAAAAUUAUUGAGCUAUUGUAUGCUGAAGCUAAAUAUAAUGUAUUACAAGGUCGGUAUCCUGUUGAAGUGAACCACUGUUUGAUGUUAGCUAGUUUGCAGUGCCGAAUAGAAUUAGGUCCAAACAAUUUACAACAGUACACCUCAAGUUUUUUUAGAGAUAACCGGGAAAGAUUUUUACCAUCACAUCUAUACAAAAGCUGGUCAUCAUGGUUAAAUCUUGAUAGAAAAAGUACGCCUCAUUCUCGACUAGCAGACCAUUUAAAACAUAUACAGAUAACUGGAUCUGAUCGUAGACUUUACCACAAGUAUUUAGAGUGCUGUUACAUGCUACCAUUUUAUGGGUGUGCUUUUUUCCAUGGUCAAAUUGAGCAACCGGUUCGAGGUUUGAUGUCUUUAAUUAACCAUAAAGAUGUUCCUAUUUACAUCGCAGUCAACACCGAAGGAGUUUAUAUCUUGGAUUGUGUGGAAAAUAGUUUAUUGUUGGGUCUUAAGUAUCAAGAUUUUUCAUGGGAAUUCGCUAAGCCAUCUCAAGAAGAUAAUGAUCAUUGUUUACCAUGUAUAUUUCUACAGUUUUUAGUAUUAGAAAACGGAACAAGAGUUUCAAAAAUUUUACAAGUGUUUUCUAAACAAGCUGUCAUGAUAGAUGCACUAAUUGCCUGUUUCGUUGAAGAUUUUAGACAUAAAUUAGCUAUGAAUGAAUAUGACGAUGUAGAUAGAACUGGUGGUUUUGAACAUAUUUCUGUUGGCGAUGGAUCUCAAGUACCUUUGGCACAUUUGUUCCGCAGCGAACCACAAUCGCGAUUGUGUAAUAAACUAAAUAAGUUGACACUAGCUACAUUUGACGAAGAUGGUAUGUUGGUUUAUAAUAUUCAUCCAUAUUAAGCGGAUCAUCUUUUAUAGUUUGUUAGCAUGUAUUCAUCAGUUAGAAAGUUGUUUAUAAUAUAGUUUAUUUUGAUCACACACGAUUAUGCAUGGUUUGUAUACUACUUAUGAAUUUAACCUACCGCAAUGGACUAAAGUCAUUGUAUCGGACAAAUGGGAUCUUGGUCAUUCAGUUACUAAAAGUGGAUACUUAAUACAAUAUAUUUUAAUUUUUUUUCUACUGAUCUCUAUACCGCCAUCCUUUUCUUUAAUUCACAUUUCUUCUACUUCUUACCAUUGAAUACUAUUUGUAUCAAGAUAUAAUACAUGUGAUUACCUUUACCUAGUCAA